RNAcentral lists this microRNA (22 nucleotides) under Plutella xylostella (diamondback moth). RNAcentral describes it as "pxy-miR-8505". Lineage: Eukaryota; Metazoa; Arthropoda; Insecta; Lepidoptera; Plutellidae. The record is from miRBase by way of RNAcentral.
CUCCAUAGAUUCUAGAUUAACG